Molecule: long non-coding RNA, 640 nt
Organism: Carassius carassius (crucian carp)
Lineage: Eukaryota; Metazoa; Chordata; Actinopteri; Cypriniformes; Cyprinidae
Exons: 3
Source: RefSeq, a predicted model, not a curated record
GGUCGGGCUGCUGGCACUGGCCUGAGGUACAGGGUGGGCGGGAGGCUUGUCUGCACCGGGCUGGGGUGGCCUCCUGCGCUGCUGCUGGAGUUUCUGCUUGGCUGAAUGCAGCUGGAAGGACAGACUAGCGCGGAGAGCACCCACCAAAACCGACUUCUGACUCAGCUCCCAUCGCAGAUCACUCUGGAUCUGUUGUUGCUCCUGCAGAUGCUCCUCCACCUCCCCACAACGAGCUUCCAGCUGCUCCUCUUCCUCUUUCACCUCUGGAAUACAUAUAGAAAAGACACAUUUACUAUAAAUGACAGGCUAAGUAGACCGAAAAUGAUUUACAGGAAUCUGUGUCAGAUGUUCUACACCUGAUCCACACGAACCUGAUGACCUCGUGCUGUGAGCUCAACAUCUUUCCCUCAUUCCUGUCUCUCUUGCUUUUUACAUUUUAUUGCAACUCUGCCAGAACUCAGUUCUGUCUAUCAGCUUGUCCAGAAUGUCCUGAAUUCACAGCCUGCCUAUCAGUCCCACCCCAUGUGUCCAGACUGAGAUGAGCUCAUAAUGUGGCUAUAAAAAAUGCUGCGCUAUCCGAUCCCUAAAUCUGAUCUCUCCACUGUUUCUUGUUGAGUUCACUCUUUGCUGUCUCUGAUUC